RNAcentral lists this ribosomal RNA (425 nucleotides) under uncultured bacterium. RNAcentral describes it as "bacterial SSU rRNA". It matches the Rfam family "Bacterial small subunit ribosomal RNA", at positions 28 to 453 of the family's 1533-position model. The record is from RNAcentral.
GACGAACGCUGGCGGCGUGCUUAACACAUGCAAGUCGAACGGAAAGGCCCUGCUUUUGUGGGGUGCUCGAGUGGCGAACGGGUGAGUAACACGUGAGUAACCUGCCCYUGACUUUGGGAUAACUUCAGGAAACUGGGGCUAAUACCGGAUAGGAGCUCCUGCUGCAUGGUGGGGGUUGGAAAGUUUCGGCGGUUGGGGAUGGACUCGCGGCUUAUCAGCUUGUUGGUGGGGUAGUGGCUUACCAAGGCUUUGACSGGUAGCCGGCCUGAGAGGGUGACCGGCCACAUUGGGACUGAGAUACGGCCCAGACUCSUACGGGAGGCRGCAGUSGGGAAUAUUGCACAAUGGGCGGAAGGUGAUGCAGCAACGCCGCGUGCGGGAUGACGGCCUUCGAGUUGUAAACCGUCUCGCCUGUGACGAAGCGU